RNAcentral lists this long non-coding RNA (1518 nucleotides) under Homo sapiens (human). RNAcentral's name for it is "HSALNT0344372". The record is from RNAcentral. Lineage: Eukaryota; Metazoa; Chordata; Mammalia; Primates; Hominidae.
CACUUCCUUCCUCCGGUCCCUAAUCUGAGGACUGCUGGAUUGCAGACUUGGCAAGUCCACCAUCCCCGCGGACGACGUUUGAAAGGCGGACUGAGGGUGGAGGAGGUCGCGGGGAAAGCGGACCGAAGGGAAAGAAAAAUCAGAAAGACCAUUAGGAUCUGUCCGGGUGCCUGAACUCUUCCUCCUUCCCUAAAGGACCCUACCAAGCCGGUGGCGGCGAGGACGCAAACACCAUUGAGGGGGCUUCCGUGGGUCCGCGGUCUCGCGCUCCGCCGUGCAGAACGAACUGUUAGUGGGCGCUACUGAUCGCGCCGCGCUCGCGGCCUCGCCCCAUUCACACGGCCCCGCGUAAUGAAUUCGUCCAUUUAAAUACAUUACAGGAAUAUUGGAGAUUGCGGAGGACGUGACACUUGACCCUGCAACCCGAACCCCGCAGGGGCAGCCGCCGCCUUGCAAAGUAGCAGUCCCCGAGCAGCGCCGCGCGGCGGUGGCCGGCCAAGCCCUCCGGGAGCUCUCCGGGUCCCCUUCCUCGCCCCCACCCCCGCCUUGCUCGCAGCUUGCCUCUGUCGACCCCUUCCCGCAGCCGCGUUUCAAUCAAACUCACUGAGACGGCACCGAGCGGGCGCCGGGGACAAGAAACGCCUCGCCAGCGACAACGCGCGAACAAGCGGAGCCGCGGGCCCCGGCGCCUCCGCCCACACGCGCCCCGCGUGCUGAAACCCGCACCUGGCCCACGGGUAGCCGGAAAAGCCGGGUCCCGGCCCGCCCGCCGGGCCGCCCCUGCUCCCGCUCCCCCAGCUCCAAGCGCUGCGGCUCAGAAACCCACCCGCCCGGCCCAGCCCCCGCCGGAGCCCUGCACCUUGGGGAGCCGGAGGCUGGGGAGGGGACCAGAGAAGGGGAAGAAGGGGCAUCGCCCUUCUUCCUACCCUGGGACAGCGCCUGGACUGGAGCUGGGUGCCGAGGAAACGACGGGAAGAGCUGACAGAGAGGCGGAGGGAGAAAAGAAAGGAAAAGAGGCAGAGACGAGGAAGGGAAGAAAGGGAUCCGAAGUGACCCGCCCUCGGGCCUCCGCGCCGGUGAUGCCCCGCGCCCAGGGCGAGGCCGUGCUUCGCGGGCAUGAGAAGCCAGGAGGCAGCGGAGUGCGGGUCUGGGGCACCGGGGACAUUGCCAAACAUAAUUGGGGUGCCAAACUGGGCUUCUUAAUCUCGAAGCCAGGAUGGGCGGGUGUGGCCGGGGGUGCGCGGGGUCAGCCAGCUUGGGGUGCUUUCCUUCGGGGCUCACACCGGCAGCGCGGACCGGCCGAGGCCGCUGGGACUGCAAGUCCGCCGCCUGCUUUUGUUCUGGGUUCUGCUGUAAUUUAACAUAAAACGCCUGUUAGAAUCACUGCUGCCGAAACACGCGUUUCUCCUUGUUUUGCCACCAACUAACAGGAUUAGGCAACAAGAGCGAGAUUUCAAAUUAACCAUAAAAAUGACAAAUUGCAAUUCAUUUAGCUGCCCACUUACUACAUUAAAAAAC